UACGUAGGGUGCAAGCGUUGUCCGGAAUUAUUGGGCGUAAAGAGCUCGUAGGCGGUUUGUUGCGUCGGCUGUGAAAUCCCGAGGCUCAACCUCGGGUCUGCAGUCGAUACGAGCAAACUAGAGUGUUGCAGGGGAGACUGGAAUUCCUGGUGUAGCGGUGAAAUGCGCAGAUAUCAGGAGGAACACCGGUGGCGAAGGCGGGGUCUCUGGGCAAAGCAACUGAC
This 224-nucleotide ribosomal RNA is filed under the name uncultured bacterium. Its description in RNAcentral is "partial 16S ribosomal RNA". It matches the Rfam family "Bacterial small subunit ribosomal RNA", at positions 524 to 744 of the family's 1533-position model. The record is from RNAcentral.